RNAcentral lists this ribosomal RNA (483 nucleotides) under uncultured bacterium. Its description in RNAcentral is "partial 16S ribosomal RNA". It matches the Rfam family "Bacterial small subunit ribosomal RNA", at positions 28 to 523 of the family's 1533-position model. The record is from RNAcentral.
GAUGAACGCUGGCGGCGUGCCUAAUACAUGCAAGUCGAGCGAACCACUUCGGUGGAGAGCGGCGAACGGGUGAGUAACACGUAGGUGAUCCGCCCAUCAGACGGGGACAACGAUUGGAAACGAUCGCUAAUACCGGAUAGGACGAAAGUUUAAAGGUGCUUCUGGCACCGCUGAUGGAUGAGCCUGCGGCGCAUUAGCUAGUUGGUAGGGUAAAGGCCUACCAAGGCGACGAUGCGUAGCCGACCUGAGAGGGUGAACGGCCACACUGGUACUGAGACACGGCCCAGACUCCUACGGGAGGCAGCAGUAGGGAAUCUUCGGCGAUGGGCGAAAGCCUGACCGAGCAACGCCGCGUGAAUGAUGAAGGCCUUCGGGUUGUAAAAUUCUGUUAUAAGGGAAGAACGACUUUAGUAGGAAAUGGCUAGAGUGUGACGGUACCUUAUGAGAAAGCCACGGCUAACUACGUGCCAGCCGCCGCGGUAA